Molecule: ribosomal RNA, 460 nt
Filed under: uncultured bacterium
Lineage: Bacteria
Description: partial 16S ribosomal RNA
Rfam family: Bacterial small subunit ribosomal RNA
Source: RNAcentral
CCUACGGGAGGCAGCAGUGAGGAAUAUUGGUCAAUGGCCGGAAGGCUGAACCAGCCAUGCCGCGUGAAGGUCAGUGCCCUAUGGGCGUUAAACUUCUUUUGUGCGGGAGCAAUAAUGGUCACGUGUGGCCAGACGAGAGUACCGUACGAAUAAGCAUCGGCUAACUCCGUGCCAGCAGCCGCGGUAAUACGGGGGAUGCAAGCGUUAUCCGGAUUUAUUGGGUUGAAAGGGUGCGUAGGCUGUGAGGUAAGUCAGCGGUGAAAUGCCCCCGCUCAACGGGGUGAAGUGCCAUUGAUACUGCCUGGCUGGAAUGCGGAUGCCGUGGGAGGAAUGUGUGGUGUAGCGGUGAAAUGCAUAGAUAUCACACAGAACACCGAUUGCGAAGGCAUCUCACGAAUCCGCGAUUGACGCUGAUGCACGAAAGCGUGGGUAUCAAACAGGAUUAGAUACCCGUGUAGUC